ACAAUGUUCAAACCUUUAUAAGUCUUGCUUUAAAAUGCCCUAAUAGUAAGGCUUAAUGGUUAUAUUAAAAUAUGGUUCCAGUCAUUUUCCCAAAAAUGAAUUUUGAAAGAUGAAGGGAGCGAAUCACGGGGCUGUCAGUCCCUGAAUGGUGAGAACACACUGAGGGGCAAAGGAAAGCGCUGUGAAGGGGGAGUGACACUGAGCUAUGUGCUCCUCCAGGAGGCACGGAGGUGAGGAGGGCGAGGGCUGCCGUUAGGAAAAUUGGAUUCCGGCCCCGCUCUGCCAUUUCCUGCCCUCUUACACAUGUCAUUUAACCUCUCCUAACCUCAGUUUCCUCAUUUAUAAAAUGAGGGAAUUGUGUUGGAUGAUUUCUGAGGUGCCUUCUAGCUCAGAAAUCUAUAAAACUCUGUGAAACAUCGGCCUUUUCCCCACCGCAUAAUUGGUAGGAGGUGGUAAUGAAAUAAGGUCCAGAAUAUAAUUCGUCUUUCAAUGUACAUUUUCUCUGUCCUUCAGAUGAAAGUAGUCAAUGGGUUUUGUUUUUUCCCUCCUGUUACCCUGAUAAUAAGUGAGGAUAAAUUCCCUAUAAUGGAUGCCAUAGAGACCUUUAUAUUCUGGGAAAAACUGAGCUGGCCCAGAAAUGCCCAUUUGACAGAAUGCACUUCUAGUCAGAGACAGCAGAGGUGGGCACAGUGAAUGGACCAUAAGGUAGAUGGCAGUGAUCAGAGGUUUUGUUUUUGUUAUUUAAAAAACAAACAAACAAAAAAUAUAUCCUCUGUCAUUUGGAAUUUUGCAGUAUGUGGUAUUUCCUAUUUUAUCUGUCUCUGCCCACCUGUCCUUUCUAAAGCAUUUCAGCCCCACUAAUGUUUUCUAUUUCACACGUGCAGAGAAGAAAGAAGUCUGACCUGGUCCCUGCCGUCCCAGCAGACUCUUAAGUUCCCCUGAUUGUUUAAAACCCUUCGUUUGGGGUUAUGGAAAGAAUGAAAGCCAAAUGCUGGGUGAUCACUAUUUAAUGGUGUGACCUAGGAAGGUCAGGGCAACAGGAGAAAUAUAUCUUGAGCCACUACCACAUAUUUGGCCUCAUGCUCUGCAUUCCAUGUUCAAAGGUCAAGGCCCUACCUUGUAGAAGAUAAGAGUCUAAAGGGGAAAGAGUCAACAUGUUUGUGACUACAGUUCAAGUCCCACACCAGAAGGACAGACUAGACCUCUGAAAGUACGGAGCAGGGGCCAUUUAAUUUGGCAAAGAGUCAUUUGAGCUGGGCCUUAACUGGCAAAUAAGUGGAGUUCCCGUUAUGGUUCAGUGGUUAACGAAUCUGACUAGGAACCAUGAGGUUGAGGGUUCGAUCCCUGGCCUCCCUCAGUGGGUUAGGGAUCUGGCGUUGCUGUGAGCAGUGGUGUAGGUCACAGACACUCGAUCUGGCGUUGCUGUGGAUCUGGUGUAGGCUGGUGGCUACAGCUCUGAUUAGACCCCUGGCCUGGGAACCUCCAUAUGCCGCAAGUAGAAAAGGCAAAAAGACAAAAAAAACAAACAGAAAAAAAACAAGCCAAUAAGCAAUACCCAGGAUCUCCUUUUGCUAACAGUUUCUGAGUCUACUGUAGCAAGGAAAAUAAGACUUUGCGUAUGACUGCCCCAGAAGUGUGUGUGUGCGUGCGCGUGUGUGAAGAGCAAGGAGGUCAUCUGUGAAGGACAGAUGAAGAAAGACCCAGAAAGAGUAGAGCUGUUCUGGGAAUGUGGAAAAGUAAGGGAAUGGGGAACAAAGCAGGGAAAGAAAAGGCCUUGGAAGGAAGUAAUAAGGAGACAGAAUGGGGUAGCGGGCAGGGUGAAACAUAACUGCUGCGAGAGUACAUCUCCUUUCGUACAAGGUCCCUUGCCAUCUGUAAGCCUUCAUGAACAUGGCUGGUUUUGUCCUGGAGCCUUUGGCAAAGUCGAACAAACCUAGCCCCCUGCUGGGGUGAAGAUGAAUGGACAUGCAACUGGGAAGUAUUUCACAACCAGGUGUGAAUGGAUGGGGAAGGGAAAGAAAAUAUUUCUAUCAUGGAAUGAUUUACAGCAAAUUUAGACUAAGGCUCAGCCAAGUGGAGGUAUCAGCAGUAAGUCAUUGUGAAAGAACAAACACUAUUUUUUUCCCUUCCUGCAACGUGUAUGUUUAAAUCAAAUCAGCAAAUAUUUUUUAAUGAUAUCAUUGUUCCCAAAUGCUGUCAUUCCUUGAUUUAUUUACUUUCCUUCUAGUAGAGUCAGGCUGAGAACUGCGGAAGUCACAGGGUCAGGGAGAAAAGGACAUGGUGCUAAUGCUUGACUGUUAUUAUUUUCAGCUGAGGAGUAAAUUAAGAGUCUGCAUCUUCUCAGAUCCCAAAGGAUGCCCCACUAGACUGACAUUUUGGAGGUUAGAGUUGUCCCUGGGUUUAAGGAUGAAGAGUUUCCCUAAAGGUGUUACUCAAAUAUCAAUUAAUAGGUUAAUACCUGAAACCAUUAACAUGUGAAGUCAUUACUCAGAAAGAGUAAUUUUGCUGCGUGAUUGUGGAGGAAGAAUCAAGAUAAAAUAAUAUUCCAUUUUGACGCCUAAUUAGAUCGAAAAUGGGGAAUAGGCAUUAAUGACAGAGUCUGUUUCAUUAUUUUAAGUGUUGACCUGGGGUUGAGGAAAUAUUUACUAAGCCAUGAGUUUUCAGUGUCAUAGACUAUCUGAUAUUUUGCAAAUUGGGGUCUUGUGUUUCAGGUGCUAGAGAACUAAUGAUACUGUUUUUUUCAGCUUCUUGACAGUAGGUAGUUACAGUAGGUAGCUUGAGCUGCAGGGUGUCCUGAAGCCAUAUUAAUCAUAUGGUUUUAGCUUUAUUGUAUAUAUGGAAUUAAGGACUUAAAAUACAUGUUUUUUUCCUCCAAAUCACCAAGUGGAACAUUCAAGGUCCGUAACUGAGUUGUGAUGAUAAUGUGAAAGCAAAGGCAAAGAUAAAACCCUGAGCUCCCAGUUCCUGUCCAUCCAUUGUUUCCUGUAGAUUCCAGUUUCUGAAAUACUAAAGAGAGGAAUUCUAGAGAACGCCUCACCAGAGACAUCACAAUUCAUAGCGAAAUCAGAGUUUUCAAAGCUCUCUGACUGGCAAAUCCAUGCCUUCAUCCAUUUCCCCAGGCUUCAUCUCAGCCCUUGGAGCUGUCACAUUCAGAGUCUGUGUGGUUUCAUGCAGAGUGUGUGAUCACAGUACGGCAGGCAGGUUAAGGCCACCUAAGAAUAGAAGGGAGCAAGAGCAUGCACAUGUCCCAGAAGCAAAUUUUGAAAUUAAGAUGAAUAAGUAAAUGAGAACUGUGGGUGGUGGUUUUCUGUUUGUAAUAACCAACCUGAUAGUUAAUCAAUAAGCAAGUAUUUAUUUUGAAUAAGCCGCGUCCUCAAUAGCACGUAAGGCGCUAUCAAAAGGAAGAAUCAAAUAAUGAAAUGGAGCCACUCCUCGUGAAACUUCUGAUUCUAUCUUAAUGAAGCACUUUCUUAUCUUUGGUUCAAUGAAGUGUAAAAGAGCUACUUUCGCUGUAUCUCAGAAUUCUCAGAUAUUUUUACUGAUGAUAGGACACAAUUCAUGCUGGGUAGGCUCUGAUCUGUAUAAAAUGUAUGUUUUAUUUAAUAUAAAUAUAAAAAGAUAACUGAUGUGAAUGGCCCUUCCUGAAACAAGUCCAGGCAUAUUUACACACACCUGAUGUUGAGGAGGUGUCAGGAGUUAACUUCUGCCCAUCUACAUAGCAGUGACUUGAGGGAAAGGGGGUCUGUCAGCAUAAAGGGUGGGUCUGUCAGAUGACUCUGAUGGACUUUCAUAGAAAAUAAAGGACGUGAAGAGAAGUGGAGAUGGAGUCCUCUCUUCUCUGAAAUAUGCUGGUGCCCUUACAGGGGGAAAGCCUGCUCCCCUAAAGAGGGGAGGGACCAUUAAUGACCAUGUAGGAGAAAAUCAGAUCUUAGAAUAUUUCCCUGGUUAAUGGUAGACACUAUCUCAGUAGUUGCACCCUUAAUUAACUAGUCCUCAUGACAUGCUGUUCUUGGUACCAGAUGGUAGGUAUUCUGGAAAAGAAAAACUGGAAAGUAAAUGAUUUUUCAUAACUCUUGUCAACCUUCAGGUCAUUUUAGUAUGGUUCAGUUAUCAUUUAUCAUCUUCCUCACUUUAGGGAGGCUUAGCAUUGAUGCUCAGUCAAUAUGUUAUUCCCUAUAAAACUGUUGAAAGUAAAGCCAUAGUAUUCAAAGUGCUUAUUUUGCACAAAAUGAAUUAAUAUCUUGCACCUCAAGCUUGCUAAGUUUUAGCCUCUCUUAGGCAUUAAUGCUGUACUUCACUUUACAUAAUAUAUUCCUGAAAGUUAUGAGUAAAUAUUUUUUGGAUAUAUCAACUCACAUAAAUAAAUACACGGUAAGAGUUGGCUGUUUAAAAUGGUUCCGUCUAAUUCAACAACUUUUCCUAAGAAUCAGUUUCAUUGCAGGCAUUGAACUAGGCGCUGUGGGUGUACAGAUGACUGUAACUUGUUUGCUGUCAUCAAAAAAUCUGAGCGUUUACUGUAGGAGAGAGAGGCAUUGAUACCAGAUGUCCAUAUCAUAUGCUGAGUGCAAAGAGAUAAGCCUAGGAUACUGUGAGAAAGCAAAGGAGGAGGAACUUGUUUACCCCAUGGAGGUCAGUAACAGCGCCUGGAAGAAAAAGAAAUGGCCAAACUGAGCUUUGAAAAAAGAAUGAAGAUU
This 4694-nucleotide long non-coding RNA is filed under the name Sus scrofa (pig). RNAcentral describes it as "lncRNA (ENSSSCG00065053924.1)". Lineage: Eukaryota; Metazoa; Chordata; Mammalia; Artiodactyla; Suidae. The record is from RNAcentral.